AGAUUAAGUUAUUAAGGGCGCACGGUGGAUGCCUUGGCACUAGAAGCCGAUGAAGGACGUUACUAACGACGAUAUGCUUUGGGUAGCUGUAAGUAAGCGUUGAUCCAGAGAUUUCCGAAUGGGGGAACCCAGCAUGAGUUAUGUCAUGUUAUCGACAUGUGAAUUUAUAGCAUGUCAGAAGGCAGACCCGGAGAACUGAAACAUCUUAGUACCCGGAGGAAGAGAAAGAAAAAUCGAUUCCCUGAGUAGCGGCGAGCGAAACGGGAAUAGCCCAAACCAACAAGCUUGCUUGUUGGGGUUGUAGGACACUCUAUACGGAGUUACAAAAGAACAUGUUAGACGAAUCAUCUGGAAAGAUGAAUCAAAGAAGGUAAUAAUCCUGUAGUCGAAAACAUAUUCUCUCUUGAGUGGAUCCUGAGUACGACGGAGCACGUGAAAUUCCGUCGGAAUCUGGGAGGACCAUCUCCUAAGGCUAAAUACUCUCUAGUGACCGAUAGUGAACCAGUACCGUGAGGGAAAGGUGAAAAGUACCCCGGAAGGGGAGUGAAAGAGAACUUGAAACCGUGUGCUUACAAGUAGUCAGAGCCCGUUAAUGGGUGAUGGCGUGCCUUUUGUAGAAUGAACCGGCGAGUUACGAUCUGAUGCAAGGUUAAGCAGCAAAUGUGGAGCCGCAGCGAAAGCGAGUCUGAAUAGGGCGUUGAGUAUUUGGUCGUAGACCCGAAACCAGGUGAUCUACCCUUGGUCAGGUUGAAGUUCAGGUAACACUGAAUGGAGGACCGAACCGACUUACGUUGAAAAGUGAGCGGAUGAACUGAGGGUAGCGGAGAAAUUCCAAUCGAACUUGGAGAUAGCUGGUUCUCUCCGAAAUAGCUUUAGGGCUAGCCUCAAGUGAUGAUUAUUGGAGGUAGAGCACUGUUUGGACGAGGGGCCCCUCUCGGGUUACCGAAUUCAGACAAACUCCGAAUGCCAAUUAAUUUAACUUGGGAGUCAGAACAUGGGUGAUAAGGUCCGUGUUCGAAAGGGAAACAGCCCAGACCACCAGCUAAGGUCCCAAAAUAUAUGUUAAGUGGAAAAGGAUGUGGCGUUGCCCAGACAACUAGGAUGUUGGCUUAGAAGCAGCCAUCAUUUAAAGAGUGCGUAAUAGCUCACUAGUCGAGUGACACUGCGCCGAAAAUGUACCGGGGCUAAACAUAUUACCGAAGCUGUGGAUUGUCCUUUGGACAAUGGUAGGAGAGCGUUCUAAGGGCGUCGAAGCAUGAUCGCAAGGACAUGUGGAGCGCUUAGAAGUGAGAAUGCCGGUGUGAGUAGCGAAAGACGGGUGAGAAUCCCGUCCACCGAUUGACUAAGGUUUCCAGAGGAAGGCUCGUCCGCUCUGGGUUAGUCGGGUCCUAAGCUGAGGCCGACAGGCGUAGGCGAUGGAUAACAGGUUGAUAUUCCUGUACCACCUAGUAUCGUUUUAAUCGAUGGGGGGACGCAGUAGGAUAGGCGAAGCGUGCUGUUGGAGUGCACGUCCAAGCAGUAAGGCUGAGUGUUAGGCAAAUCCGGCACUCAUAAGGCUGAGCUGUGAUGGGGAGAGGAAAUUGUUUCCUCGAGUCGUUGAUUUCACACUGCCGAGAAAAGCCUCUAGAUAGAUAACAGGUGCCCGUACCGCAAACCGACACAGGUAGUCAAGAUGAGAAUUCUAAGGUGAGCGAGCGAACUCUCGUUAAGGAACUCGGCAAAAUGACCCCGUAACUUCGGGAGAAGGGGUGCUCUUUAGGGUUCACGCCCAGAAGAGCCGCAGUGAAUAGGCCCAAGCGACUGUUUAUCAAAAACACAGGUCUCUGCUAAACCGUAAGGUGAUGUAUAGGGGCUGACGCCUGCCCGGUGCUGGAAGGUUAAGAGGAGUGGUUAGCUUCUGCGAAGCUACGAAUCGAAGCCCCAGUAAACGGCGGCCGUAACUAUAACGGUCCUAAGGUAGCGAAAUUCCUUGUCGGGUAAGUUCCGACCCGCACGAAAGGCGUAACGAUUUGGGCACUGUCUCAACGAGAGACUCGGUGAAAUCAUAGUACCUGUGAAGAUGCAGGUUACCCGCGACAGGACGGAAAGACCCCGUGGAGCUUUACUGUAGCCUGAUAUUGAAAUUCGGCACAGCUUGUACAGGAUAGGUAGGAGCCUUUGAAACGUGAGCGCUAGCUUACGUGGAGGCGUUGGUGGGAUACUACCCUAGCUGUGUUGGCUUUCUAACCCGCACCACUUAUCGUGGUGGGAGACAGUGUCAGGCGGGCAGUUUGACUGGGGCGGUCGCCUCCUAAAAGG
This 2298-nucleotide ribosomal RNA is filed under the name Staphylococcus epidermidis. RNAcentral's name for it is "bacterial LSU rRNA". It matches the Rfam family "Bacterial large subunit ribosomal RNA", at positions 1 to 2297 of the family's 2925-position model. The record is from RNAcentral. Lineage: Bacteria; Bacillati; Bacillota; Bacilli; Caryophanales; Staphylococcaceae.